UACGAAGGAUGCGAGCGUUAUCCGGAUUUAUUGGGUUUAAAGGGUGCGUAGGCGGCCUUAUAAGUCAGUGGUGAAAUCCUAUCGCUUAACGAUAGACGUGCCAUUGAUACUGUAGGGCUUGAGUACAGAUGCCGUUGGCGGAAUGUGUCAUGUAGCGGUGAAAUGCAUAGAUAUUGGGAAGAACACCGAUGGCGAAGGCAGCCAUCUGGACCGACACUGACGCUGAGGCGCGAAAGCGUGGGGAGCAAACAGG
RNAcentral lists this ribosomal RNA (253 nucleotides) under uncultured bacterium. Its description in RNAcentral is "partial 16S ribosomal RNA". It matches the Rfam family "Bacterial small subunit ribosomal RNA", at positions 524 to 776 of the family's 1533-position model. The record is from RNAcentral.